UAUUACUACAAACAAUUUUAAACAAAUUUAAGCUCCUGCAACUUCUGUUUUUAGAAAAUCUAUUGAAAUUCAGCUUCCCCACUUCCUGUAUUUUCAGCAGUUCUUUAAAAUAAUUUCAGCUAUUCUUAUGCCUCUAUCAACAGCAAUUUUUCAAUAUUCAUUUCUGUAUUUUUUUGCAAUAUUUCAAAUUUAUUUCAGCUGUUUUCAUUUCUGCUUUUUCAGCAAAUCUAUUGAAAUUCCUUUCAGCUUCUCCCAUUUCUGUAUUUUCAGCAAUUUCAAAUUCAUUUCAGCUUUUCAGCAAAUGUAUUCAAAUUCCCUUCAACUUUCUGUAUUUUCAGCUAUUUUUAAAUAUUCAGUGCAGCUUUCAGCUUUUUGCAUUCCAACGCAUUUUCAGCAGGAAAUGCCUUUUCUAGUUAUUAUGUUUCUUCUAUUUCUUCCGCGCCCCCUUUCAACUCCUUCACAUUUUCAGCUAUUAAAAUCCUUCAAAUAUUAAAAUGUUCAGCUCCUUUCUGGCUUGAGGGCUAUGACUUUUCAGCUUUCUACCUCUUAUGCUUGAAUUUAUAUAAAUCAAUAAUCAUUAAUAUUUUAACAUGGUUUUCAAAUGGAGUUUUCUUUCAAAUCCUCCUAAACUUCUUCAACUUUCAGAUUUUUCAGCUUCGCAAAUCUUUCAGCUACAGACACCAUUUCAACUUUCAAAUGUUGACACAAGUCUUAACUAUUUUAUGAAAAAAAGUGCUUCUUGAUAUCUAUUGUACUUUUUUCAUAAUCACUGAUUAUGUUUCACUAGUUCUUCGCUCCGUUUCUGACUUUUACAUGAGUGUGUAUUGCGUCUGCUAGAGGGGGACCUCGACGGCUAGAGUGUGGGGCAUCGCAGGAAUCUGGUAAAAAAAAUAUGGAACUUCUGUCCUUGCAGCCAAAGUAUACACUCUAGAGGCUUCAUUUCUUCAGAUUAAUGAGGGUAUGGUUGUGCUGAUUGGAUUAAUGUGUUCAUGGAAUCCCAGAGUUCUUUAGUUUUGGCGCAAGGAGUGUUUGAGUGACACAACCUCUGCCAAAAGCCCCAUAGGCUCCAAUACAAAUCUGCCGACAUAUUUCUCACAAAAAUCCACAAGGUACACGUUCUGUCAACGGCCAUAGGAGCCGUAUUUAUUACCGGACAGACAUAAAAAGCACAUCCACGCGUUCGGUAGAGUCUUGGGUCUCGUCAAAACGCCGUAUUUUUUAGAUAGCUGUUAUAGUUUUGCGCUGGUUCCCAUUUGUUUGAGGUGUGGAUUCUGUGUAACUUGCUGUCCUGUGUCUGCCCCUUUGCAGCCGCACAGGUGCGGCGUUGUCGUGGUUACGAGCACUCACAUGCUGCAGGAUCUGUCUGUGGCUCACAGCUGCUUAUAUGACCUGAUUAGUGGAGUCACAUGACGCAGCUAUGCUUUCUGUCAACAGACCAAUAUGAUAAAGACACUCGCCCCCCUUCCCCCCUCCACCCUGACCUCUACUUACUGUUAAUCACUCAGUCAGUCAGUAUGUCUGUCCAUUUCUCCUCCUCUCUCUCUCCCUCUAUCUCUUCCUCACCACCCCUCCCUUUCUCACCCUCUCACCCUCCCUCCCUCUAUCUACACCCCCCCACCCCAUUUAAUCCAAUAGGUGCGCCGUUGUCGUGGUUACUCGCUCACACGCUGCAGGAUCUGUCUGUGGCUCAAAGCUGCUCCUAUGACCUGAUUAGUGGAGUCACAUGACGCAGCUAUGCUUUCUGUCAACAGACCAAUAUGAUAAAGACACUCGCCCCCCUCCCCCCUCCACCCUGACCUCUUCUCACUGUUAAUCACUCAGUCAGUCAGUAUGUCUGUCUAUUUCUCCUCUCUCUCUCUCCCUCUAUCUCUUCCUCACCACCCCUCCGUUCCUCACCCUCUCACCCUCCCU
This is a long non-coding RNA of Gasterosteus aculeatus aculeatus (three-spined stickleback), 1911 nucleotides long. NCBI's taxonomy places the organism in Eukaryota, Metazoa, Chordata, Actinopteri, Perciformes, Gasterosteidae. The record is from Ensembl.